RNAcentral lists this non-coding RNA (21 nucleotides) under Caenorhabditis elegans. The record is from RNAcentral. Lineage: Eukaryota; Metazoa; Nematoda; Chromadorea; Rhabditida; Rhabditidae.
UGGGUAUUGGAAUUGAAUUGG